GUUCUUAUUAUAGGAACCACAAGAGUAGGACACACUGCAGCAACAACCAUCAGGCAACUUGGAAAAAGCAAAGGUUAUUAUUCACCAAUCCUGGAGGGUACCUGGCACACCUGGGGCCAUACCGCAAACUCAUGGAUUUGGAGGGAAGGAGAGAAAGCACAGACCUGGGGUUCUGCCUUUAUUCGUGCGUUCGCUAUUUAUUGGUGAAUUUAAAACAUAAGAGCAAGAAGUAAAGUACAGGAAGGGAGAAGCAAGUAAUCAGUUAUCUAGGUCACCAAGGGCUUUCUAAAAGGGAAACUUCAUGGAUGAGCUUGAAGGACUCCGUUCAACAUUUCUUGUAAGGCAGGUCUCGUGGAGAUGGAUUCCCUCGGCUUUUGUCUGUGUUUUCCUGACCCUCAUCUUCAACAUCCAAUGAGUGCUUCCUGUCUACCAGACCCCAUACCGAGUGCUUUACCUGCGUUGUCUCCUUUACACCUCGCCACUGCCCUCUGAGACAGUGAUUGCUCUUAUCUGCAUCUACAGAUGAGAAAACUGGGCUGAGAGAAGUUCCCUUACAAUGACCUAAAUAGCAAAUGAUGAAGCCUCAUGUCAACCUAGAUCUGACUCAGAAUCUGGACCGUUAGCCACACGACUGAACUGUCACAAUCAUAGCAUAUAUUGAAGUCAUCAGGAGAAAGCAGAAAGCCGCAUUUAAUCCUGGUUUUGAGGAAUGAGAGAAAAUACGGAUUGAGAACUGAGCAAAUCAUGCCAUCUGAGCAAAGUGAAGAUUAUAGUGACCCUGACAUAUGAGAGAGACAGCAGAAUCCAUUCCAGUGGACCGGAGUCCCUACUGCAGACUAUUAAAUAAAAGUGAACAUAUAAGCUAGGGUCAUUAAAUGGAAUUUCUUGAAUGUCAGGCUGAGAAGUUAAAACUUGAACCUCUAAGCAGUAGGAAAUCAAGAGCAAAAGCAUAAUGAUUUCGAAAAGAGGAGGACAAUACAGUCUGUUUUUGUUUCCACUGCCCUUUCUGAUGGCACUCAGAUCUCUAAUAGCCAUUCUGGGUUCAGUGAGGACAUAAACUCUUCCUUCCUGAGUUAUAACUGACACCUCAUAGAUGGUCACAGUAAUGUUAUCCCAGCAAUCACCAUGCAUUAAAGGUGGUUAGGCUUUCAAGAGUAAAUUUCCAGAUACUUGAUAAGAUUAUACAAAUUAUUUAGAAUAGCUGCUUUCUCGGACCCAGUUGUCUUCUCUUUUGUAUAUUAACGCACCUUUUUCUCCAUCAAAGAUCUAUGCCAGAAAUUAAUCGGGAGAGUAAAAGAUAAGGGUGUGGGACCAAGUAAAAGAUAAGGGUGUGGGAAAGUGCAGCAUUUAUUGCAGGGCACCAAGCAAGGAGCCCAGGUAGCUAAUGCUCAAUGGGACCUAGUACAUCUCCCAUUGUACUAGGAGAUGGUGAUAAUGCAUUCCUCACGACGACUGCUCACGUCCAGCUUCCAAAAUGCCUUAUUCUUACAUCAUGGCUGCGUAUCAGGAGAUAAACUAGUUGCCCCACAGGAAGAUUGAGACCAUUCACUGAUUAGAAUACCUAAACUGGGUCAGGAAUUUGCUAGGGACUGGAGACCUACGGAGCCAAAGGGUCUCUUAUCCUCAUCGAGCUUCCAGUCUGGGGGAGGACCGACACUGGUCAAAUAAACACAAACAUACACAUUGAUAUUGAUGAGGACUCAUAUUAUAUAAUUCACUUCAAUAUAACAGAUGAGUUAAAUGAAAAUUUGUUUUGUUUUUUGUAUGCUAUAGGCCCUGAUGUGCAAUCCUGAAACGUGAUUCAUUUGCAAAGGCCCUCAAGCAAGUUAUUCAAUUUCACCAAGGUUCAGUCUCCUCAUAUAUCCAAUGGGAGUAAUAGUAACAAAUGGGGAGUUUUAUAAACAUAAGUGAGAUAAUUUAUGUGAAAAUGCUUGCAUUGUGCUUGAUACAUACUAAAUAUUAAAAUAUGUGAGCUACUGUAAUUCUUAGAGCCUCUUAGGAGUCUGCAUCUUUCCUGCUGUGGGAUAUAGAAUCGGAUUAGCCAAAUAGUUCUUAACUGCAAUCACAUCAACAAUGUUUUGUGCUAACAGUGUAUGCUUACAAAAUAUCUCUCACAGGCACCGUAUAACAUUCUGGAAGUAGGGAAAGAAGAUGGUAGUUUUUAAUCUAGUAAGGGAAAUAGAUGUGGAUACAGAUCGAAAUAGACAUAGAUGUACAGACCACAGUGGGAGCUGGACUUGGUAAGUGUGGGCUGGAGAUGGAAAAAGCUAGACGGAGCAUGAUACACAUUAGAACACCGCAGUGAGAGUUAUCUCAAUGGUAAAAAGCCUUAACCUGAAUCUGGAGGCAGGACAGAAGCCCAGGUGGAGGCAAAAGAGAAGAACAAGCAGCAAGGAAACACUUCAGCUCCACCCCAGCCUCCUGGUGGAGAGAGCAGCCUAACCAACGUCAACCUAGAAAAAAAAUACACGUUGCAAAGAAUGCUUCCAUUAAAGGCGCUAUGACAACGAUGAUCCUAGCUUCUUGACACCAACUUCAAUAGAGAUGCAAGUAAGAGACAUAAAACAGCCCUAGGUCUCAGGUGGUUAAGAUUUCUUUACAUCUCAGAGUUGUUAUUUUUAAAGUCUCAGCCUGAAAACUGACGUCCCCACAAAAACCUGCAACUAAACGUUUAUAACAGCUUAUUCAUAAUUGCCAAAAUGUGGAAGCAACCAAGAUGCCCUUCAACAGGUGAACACGAAUAGGUGAAGAUGAAUAUCACGAUGAGUAGAUGAAGACAUGGAAGAGUUUUAAAUGCAUAAUCACUAAAAGGAAGAAGCCAAUCUGAGAAGGCUGUAUACUAUAGUAUGGAGACAGCAUGAUUCUAACUAGAUGACAUUUUGGAAAAGGCAAAACUAUGCAAGUUACUGAGCCAAACUUGGGUCCACUCACCCGUGCACAGUAAAGCCAAUCUACCGACCCCAGGUUGUGGUGAAGGAAAGUGCAGCAUUUACUGCAGGGCACCAAGCAAUGAGCCCAGGUAGCUAAUGCUCAAAAACCCCAAACUCCCUGGUAGCUUUCAGGGAAAGGUCUUUACAGACAGGGUGAGGGAGAGGGAUGCAGGUUGUGUUAUCAGCUCAUGGACGUUCCUCCGACUGGUUGGUGGGGAGGUAAGUGGGAGUCGGCAUCAUCAACCUUCCGGUUCCAACUGGUCUGGGGUCUACGUGCUUGUGGGCAGCAGACAGUUAACUUCUCCCACCUGGUGGGGGCUUCAGUACCUGCAAAACGGCUCAAAGGCUCAAAGCUCAGAAUAUUAUCUGCAGCUCUUGAGGAGGAACUAAAGGUCUCUGACUUUGUUUAAUGGCUAAACCAUUAUUACUUUGCCUUACUUGACUGCUUUCCUCUGUUUCUGCAUUUUCUCACUUCUCCAAUUAAAUUUAUUCUUUGGACCUUGGGGAAGGCCUAGGAAGCUAAAGUUAUUCUACAAACAAGAGGCAGGUAGAGGACAUGGCAGUGGGGAGGUGGUAGUCUGUCCCAGGAAGGCCCCAUAGGGUUCUACUCAGUUACCUGGAGACAGUAAAAAGAUCAGUGAUUGCAAGGGCUUUGGUGGGAGGUCGGGAGGGAUGAAGAGAUUGGAGUAUAACUGAUUUUAAGGCAGUGAAACUAUUCCAUAUGAUAUUAUAAUGGUGGGUGCAUGUCGUUAUAUAUUUGUCAAAACCCACAGAACGUACAACACCAAGACUGAGCCCUAAU
Molecule: long non-coding RNA, 3732 nt
Organism: Balaenoptera acutorostrata (minke whale)
Lineage: Eukaryota; Metazoa; Chordata; Mammalia; Artiodactyla; Balaenopteridae
Exons: 4
Source: RefSeq, a predicted model, not a curated record